AGACCUUCUAGCCUGAGAAUUCAUGGAGACCAUCUGCUCCACUCUGAUCUGCGAGGAUCCUCCCAGAGCUCUGCACUCUGUGCUCCCACAUCCCACACGGCUUUCAGGCCCCACUGCUUUUAUCUGGGGGCAGGCAAAGAGGAUGACUGUCUUCCUCCUGGUGGUGAGGACACUAACCAAAAUGAGUCCUGUCAUUUGAACAAGCUGUGUACUGAGCCACGUGGGGAUGCCACAGUUUGGCUCAGAAACUGGAGGGAGAAAACAUCUGGUGUCCAUCUUCCACCAGUCAAGGUCUGCAACACAUGGGAACGUCACCCUGAGAAGGUCUGAU
Molecule: long non-coding RNA, 331 nt
Organism: Heterocephalus glaber (naked mole-rat)
Lineage: Eukaryota; Metazoa; Chordata; Mammalia; Rodentia; Bathyergidae
Source: RefSeq, a predicted model, not a curated record